This 463-nucleotide ribosomal RNA is filed under the name Streptococcus mitis. RNAcentral describes it as "bacterial SSU rRNA". It matches the Rfam family "Bacterial small subunit ribosomal RNA", at positions 28 to 477 of the family's 1533-position model. The record is from RNAcentral. Lineage: Bacteria; Bacillati; Bacillota; Bacilli; Lactobacillales; Streptococcaceae.
GACGAACGCGGCGGCGUGCCUAAUACAUGCAAGUAGAACGCUGAAGGAGGAGCUUGCUUCUCUGGAUGAGUUGCGAACGGGUGAGUAACGCGUAGGUAACCUGCCUGGUAGCGGGGGAUAACUAUUGGAAACGAUAGCUAAUACCGCAUAAGAGUAGAUGUUACAUGACAUUUGCUUAAAAGGUGCAAUUGCAUCACUACCAGAUGGACCUGCGUUGUAUUAGCUAGUUGGUGAGGUAACGGCUCACCAAGGCGACGAUACAUAGCCGACCUGAGAGGGUGAUCGGCCACACUGGGACUGAGACACGGCCCAGACUCCUACGGGAGGCAGCAGUAGGGAAUCUUCGGCAAUGGACGGAAGUCUGACCGAGCAACGCCGCGUGAGUGAAGAAGGUUUUCGGAUCGUAAAGCUCUGUUGUAAGAGAAGAUCGAGUGUGAGAAGUGGAAAAGUUUCAACAACUGGG